Bombus pyrosoma is the source of this 10185-nucleotide long non-coding RNA. RefSeq lists it as uncharacterized. The transcript is spliced from 10 exons. The record is from RefSeq and is a predicted model, not a curated record. NCBI's taxonomy places the organism in Eukaryota, Metazoa, Arthropoda, Insecta, Hymenoptera, Apidae.
AAAAACGAGGUUAUAAAAGAAGAAUCUUUAUUCGACAUUUUUCACUUACAUAUAAACAUAGAGCAACUUUUUCUCUGCAAACACCAAUUUCUCCACUUGCGUUGUAUAUUUUUUAUAUUACUUUUAUUCGCAAUUUUUUCCUGCAAGUUUUGCAAUUUAGUCGUCCCUAGAUGUAAAUAUUCGUAAAAGGUUCUGAUUGUCAGCUGUAUAUAACAAAAAUUGGCAAACUCUUUCGGACAAUACGAUUUUAAGAGGAAAAAGAAAAUUUAUGCCUAUGUUUGCCUGCAAUUGGUUAAGUGUUUUACUUGAGAUAUCUCGAGAGAGAGGAUUCCCAGAAAUUGGCCGGUUCGACUAAAUAUUGAAAUAGGUUUCGUAAGCGGUUCUCUUCUGUUCGUUUAAAGGAAACGUGGUGUUGCGACACCUACAACUUUCUAGCUGAUCCCAGGCGAACUAGUCCUUGCAUGUAACGCAACUAGUUUACGGUGGCUGUAAGUGUUACAGUAAAUCGAUAUCAGGAUAAGUUUUUCAGACACCUGCACACAGGAAAAGGACAAAAGAUGAAAAUCGAUUUUCAACGAUAGAUUCGAUCUAUAAAAACAAACUAUCUUUUCAACACAGGACACUAUUCUUAUAUUGGGUUACCAACCCAAUACUGACCAAUAAUUGGCCAUUAAUACCAAAUGGCCAAUAAAAUCACUGUGUCCAUAAAUUUUGUGACAAACAAGCCAUUUAAAACUGUUUCUUAACAUGAUGAAAAUCCAAUUUUUUCGCCAAUUCGAUAAAUUAUCAGGAAUAGAGCUAUUGGGAUAUGUGUAAUUUUGUGUGUUACACUAGAUUAGCUGCGUAAUAGUGACACACAUAUAUAUGAGUUUGAGUUUGUGGAAUAUGUGCGUGCGCAGCGUAUGGUAAAACAAAAGAAUGCAACUGUUGCGUACGCAUGGUGAUGACAAAGAUGGCGGGACAAAGAGAGUGCUGAGACGCGUGCAAUGUGUAUUUACGAAUAUUUUAUAAAUCACAUAUUAAAUAAAUCUGAAACUAUUUUGAUAUCAAUUCUAAGUGUAAUUAUAAUAAAACCAGUGCUUGCAUGUUCGAACGAAUUGACGUUUCGACGUACUCGAUAAAAACGUCAAUAUAUUCAGAUACAGUGGCUACAGAAAUUAUCGACGCAUAACCUUAUCUCGCAACGAAACGUCCCUUUAUCAGAGACUCUACAUUUCACUGUUAUAGUGGCAAAUUAGUGCAGUCGUAUGAAAGUAUUACACCGAAUCGUGCGAAAUAUAUUUCACCGCAAUUAAUUAGCAUUACAGCAUAGACGUUGCAGUUGUCAUGUAAGAGACACAAGAAAUCACGAAAUUGACAGAUCACCGGUGAUCUCCAUGCGUCGCAGUUCGAACGUUUCACAAAUAAGGAAAGUUUAUGUACUAUGGGUUUGGCUACUAUGGAGGGGGUGUCGCCGGGGCCCAGCUCAGAGAUGGCCAUGCUGUUACUGUUUUCUCACAUUGGAACACUCUCUACGUUGUUGUUUCGAUGGCCUGCGGGAUGUUCGUUAGACCCCCUUGGUUUUUCUAUCGCUAAUUUAUGGUUCUGUGACACAGUCUUCGGAUGUUGUCUUCGUCAGAGCGUCAAUUCAUCCGAAUAUUCGUGUACGUGUGGCCAUAGCCUAAGCUGACAGUUGAUAUUGAAAAACCGAAACACGUGAAGUUUGCGUCCUGUCCGUCAGUGAUCCUUGUCGUAGACAAACUUAGCAAACGAUCAACCCUGAUUUCCUUUGUAAUAGAAAACUUGCUCAUUGUCGAUCGUUGCUCUGUUUAUCUAUGGUCCGACAAUGUCAGAGCCAAGAUUCGCCGCCGGCAUCGACCCGGCCGUAACGUGGUUCCAGGAUUUUGGAGAUGGUCCAAACUUCCGGGUGGAGCCUGUAGAAUUUUAAUUACGCCGGUGGCCAGGCCCAGACAACAAAAGGCAGCCGCGUAUUCGGCAUACACGGUUUGCCUUUUUUCUCGCCAUUCUACUCGCGUCUCUCCACCCCCUUCGGCUAUUCUACUCGGCCGCCAAAUAGGAACGUCGGUGACUAGGACAGAUUUUAUUCGUGAAACGUUAAAUGGAAGAAUGAAAUAUUAAACGAAGCAAGCUUGAUCAGUUUAUUAAAACAAGAUUUCAUUAAUCGAAAUAUAUGCUGUUGAAACUGUAACGUUUCUUAAUAGAGCCAUGGGUUCACUUCUACUAGAAUUUGCGGAUCUUCGUUACUCGUGUUUCUUCAACAGUCUAUUAACAUUACGUAUGACUUGUGAUAUUCACUUAAGUUGAUGAGCUUCUGAUGAGUGAAUCUAAUUAUCUGAACUUAUACUUCUAUUACGUGAAUUGUAAGUAGCGGAGAAGAUAGAGCAGCAUUCCUACUGUAUCAAUUCUAAUUACGUGAACUGUUCAUUCUUUGAUAAGUUUGCACGCAGUGAGAGCCAAUGACAUACAUAUGCAGAGUAGUACCUCGAUUAUCCGAACGUUCCACUAUUCGGACACUUUUCACGUGUAAGAAACAUAAUACUCUGCAAAAAUGUUUCUUAACAAUCAACGAAGCUACCAGCGAAAAGACGAUACAGCUUCACGAACAAUUAAAAGGAUUAGCCGUUAUACUGCUGUUAUAUGUGUUAAAUGCGAUACUAGAAAGGUCGAGGACACCAUAUUUAUUAUAUUACGACAGAUUUAGAAGAAACUUCUUUUCCAUACAAUACCAGAAUUCGAUGAUCGUGAUAACGUCGACGCGAUAGAACGCUUUUAAUGUGAUGAAUUUUCUGCUUUAGUGGACGUCUUCUUCAGAUGAUGUUAAUGUCGUUUGGUGGAGAAACGCGACGGAAGGGAAUUGGCGUAGCUGCUGAUCGCACAGUUUCUCGGUCACAUUGGUGUAACCGGUUCUCCACGACUUCUCAUCAAGUGUCUUUGUGUCGUCGAGGAAUCCGUGCCGUUCGAGCGAUUUUUAUUAAACGACGCGGCUCAUAGAGUACAUUGUUUGUCGCGAGCAACGCCACUUCAUCGCCUCUUGUGGGAACAGCCAACCCCGAGCCACCGUAGAAUCUCGCAAUUGCUGACUGACGAUUUAGAGCCCCACCGAUUAAAACGGACUGAGAAAAGGAAAUUUAUUUGUUAGGAAAGAAGGCUUUUUCGUUUUUGUGUUUUGAAGAAUGGCGCGUUUUUGGCAACUGUGUGAUAUAGAGGUGGGCAGGUUUCUCCACGGGUGGGUUAUAUAUUGGCUUCCUUUAGUUUAUGAUUUUCUAACGUAUGAUUUUUUGUUAGUUUGUAAUGAAAACAGUGCUUAACACAUUGUUGACCGGCCACGAUGCGCUUUUUUCGCAUCAGCGUCGUUUUCUCGGUGCACUGUUGGAGAUGAUGCAGUCCAAUUGUUGGUUAGCAUACCUGAAGCUGUGUCUCUGGCUUAUAAGACCAGUCAAGUUGCGUCCUUUGUUGUAAAAAAAAUGCCAACGAUGACGGAACGUACCAAUGAAGAAUCUUUCAAUGAAUUGUACGCGAAUGUUUUAUCUGAUUGUCCGGGUGAUUGUGAGAAUCAAAUUGUGGUGACUUGGAAAAUGAUACUGUGUCAGAAGAUAGUGAAUCUGAUAUUAGGCCACCAAAAUAUCAUUAAACCUACGUGCAUAUUACAAUACAAUACGCACAUGAAAGGGGUAGAUCGUGCAGAUCAGUAUUUGGCGAACAGCAGCAUUUUACGAAAAACUUUAAAGUGAUCCAGAAAAUUAGCAUUUUUUCUGAUAAACUGCACCUUGUUCGAUGCAUAUAAAAUAUACUGUACCUAUCUGCCAGAAAAUAAAACAAGAUAGAACAAAUUUCUACUGCAACUAGCUAGAGAAUGGAUAACUGUGGAUUCCAAAGAACGCAGCAUCGCACCUGACGCUUCUCGAAUUUCUAAAACAACUCCUUAUUAUAAUGGUGCACCCUUCAAGCUUUCCGAACAACUAAGAGACCACGUGUUAGAAAAAAUAGUCACUGGCAUAAAAACAAAUCCGACUAGAGCGUGUAGAGUAUGCUCUUCAAAAGGAAAACGCAUAAACUAGAUAUAUUGCAAAAGCUGUUGUGCAUCAUCACACAGAAAAAGAAAUAUUAAAAGUUAAAUAAUAAAUAGAAUUUAUUAAAGUUUAUUUAUAUCGUGUUACUUGCACAUCCAAUUGCGAAAUAAUAGCCGAUGACAUGAGAUAAAUUCUCAGUAAAAUUACCGGUCAACAAUGUGUUAACGGUGCUUUUUUAAGUUUCUAACUCUGCAGGCAUUUUGAAUAGAUUACACGCGUUUAAUGAUAUUAUAUAAUGUUUCUAAAUAUUAUUAUAGCAUGGAAGAGGCGAUGAAAAGAAAUUGCUUGAGGUUGUACAGGUAAAUUUUAUUGACUGCAAGCUAAAGCACCGUCUGAUAUUAUUAAUAUUGACAACGUAUUUAUCGAUAUAUAAUAUAUAUAUAUAAUAUUAAUUAUAUGUAAUAUCGAUGGAAUACUUGUGAAAGUUUAUUUACGUUAUGUCAUAUUAAAAAGGCAAUAUUCAAACAGAAUUUAUUUCCAUAUCGUCUAUGCUUUAUAGGAAUUAUUAUGAAAAUUCUUUUUCAUAUUUCCUGCUUUUUAAUUUGCCUUCUAUACUUCGCUUGAUAUCGCUUGGAUAUUGUAAAACAUACGUACAAAAUGUGCAUAACUGAAGAACGAAUUUUGUAUUAUGUUUGUUCAUGAACUCUUUCCACUCCUUUAUGUCAUAAAUUACAUAUUAUAUGUUCUAAUCAUAUGUUCUAGUUUGAACAACGCAUAUAUGUUGAGUGUAACUAUAUUUAUUGAUCAUGAAUAUAUUCAUUCAAAUAUAAACGCACAUACAUUAGAAUUUCAUAGAAAUUGUUGAGUAAUUAGAAUAAUAUAUGCAUAUUCGUAACAACAUUUUGAUAAAAGUAUAGGAUUUUGUCAAUACCACCUAAUGACAAAAUCUGUAAUCACUUGAUUGCUCAAUAAUAAUCCAUAUGAAUGGACUGAAUUCCAUGGAAUAAAUUCCAUUUGAAAAUUGCUUUUUUAAUAUGACAUAGCGUAAAUAAACUUUCACACGUAUUUCAUCAAUAUUACAUAUAAUUAAUAUUAUAUAUAUAUAUAUUAUAUAUCAAUAAAUACCCAAUAGUACUCUAAAGUACGUUUAGGACGUGAAGGAUUAAAUGAAGCUUACGCAGCUUGCAAAUGACUUUAACAGAAAUAUCCAAAAGCUUUGCAACUUCCAAAUCAAAUACUCGGAAAAACCCAAGCCUCGUUUCAUCCUCUUUUAAACGUCAAAUUAAACCGACCCUGCAAUCUGUUUCUCACCAUCAAACCUCAUACUUCCCCCUCAAACACAUUUUAAAAUCGCUCGUUCAGCACCCUUAUCUUCCUUCCCAAUCUCCUUCUGCUUUUAUUCGUCUACAGGAAGAAAGAAAGAGAGAGAGAGAAUGAUUCCCUAAUUUUACCCAAUUUUCUCCAAUUUUUCCAAAGGUAACUCUGGAUUCAGCCGAAGCAGAAAAGCGUGGCGCGCACCAACCCGAACCAGCUUUUACAUUUCCUCGACGUUAGAUUGCGUUCCUCGACGUACAUAUGUAGGUCGUCGCGUUUCUUCCUGGCAGAAAUUUGUGUUUAAGUCCCGUGGAAUCGAAUUUCGACAGCCGCCCCCCCCCCACGCCGUGAUUCGUCGUUCAUUUGUUUAUAUUUAUUCUAUCGUUUGCGUUUUGCAAUGUGUUGUGUCUAGCAAAGAUGGAAGGUUUCGCGAUAUUUAUUUUGUUCAUUGCAGAUUGAUUCAACUGACUGAAUUCGAUGGUGUAAUCUUCCAAACAUCAUAUGAUUAGUAUAGGCGAUGUUGUUUAUCGACUUAACUUCUGUGUAACUUGAUCAUCUUCGCUGUGCCUUCGUUAUUCUACGAGUUUAUCUUUCGAUGAUGAACGAUGUCGAAUAAGCGAUGCUGGAUUAAACGAAGCUUCUGUUUGGUUUCAUUUGAUUUUUUCAUUAUUCUCGAUUAUUAUUGCUGUUGAUAAUUUCCUCACUGGUUUCUUAUUCCGUGGUUGUGUAUACUUAUAAAUUUACAGUUUAUGAUAUUAAGAAUUGGAAACACGCAUUUAAGUUUGGGAGGAUUUUCAUAUGUUUAAUAUAAUUCCAAUACUAUUUCGAUAUAGUAGGUGCAUGAUAUUUAUAGCAAAAAUAAAUCUCGUGAUCCUGAAUGGUUUUCUAAUCUAAUUGAACUAUUGGAUUGACAACUAAGUGUCACUUAUCACGCAAUCACUUAUUUUCAGAUCACCUAACCCCAACCUAACCUCAAUACGUAGAACGUAGCAGAAAGGAAGAAACUUGUAGAUGUUUAAAAUAUCUUAAUUAUAUGAUAUUUGCCACAUGACUAAUUAUACCUUAAGUACAGUCCAAAGUUGGUACUCUAUCAACAUCAUUAAGCGAAUGAAACUUCUAACCCUAAUUCACUUCCAACCUUCAUUACCACCUAGUGACAAACUCCGCAAUCACAUAGUUGCCAACCUAAUACAUUUAUGUACCUUUACUUUCAGUAAACUAAUAUAAGAAUAAAAAGAUCUAUGUACUCUUUUCACUAAGAAUACAUCAAUCACUCAAUGCAAUUGAACCUGCAUACUGAAUCAAUCAUUUAUGGCAAUCCGCAAAAUUCUCCAGUAAUUCUAUAAAUUUUGUCCAUCUGGUAUCAUCGUUAAAAGCAAACGAUACCAAAUUUCUGAUUGCUGUCUGAUGAAGGAAAGCCGUGCGCUUGAAGUCACUUUGAUCUUAGGGAAAUAUCAGAUGAAAAGAGGCGCGAACCGUAAUAUGGUGAAAGUUGGCAUAACUGAUGGAAGGAAGCGGACGAGAGCGGAAGUUAGUGGAAAAACCAAUGAAUGGAAGGAUUUAAUCGCGCGAUCUAGUUUCGUAGGCGAAGUGAAGUUGUUCGUGUUUCGAUGCCAGGUACAGCUGACGCUGACAAUUUAUCGAGCCGGUAAACUUUCCAGCUUCGUUCGCACGAAAUACGAUGAAAAAGUUGAUCCCUGUGAAGGAACCGCUUGGAACAUCGCGAUUUCAGUAGCUUUCCUACAACUUUUCACGCAAAUGUCCACUUCUCUCUGCUUAUUUCUUCUUGCAGGUAGCUCCGAAUCGAAUACGCUCUCGGGUUAUUUCGUCUGCGAGUGUAAUAAAAAUGGAGGAAGAAGAAGGAAGUGAAGAGACGCGACAGAGACCUACCGAUACCGAUUCCUCUCCAUUUAGUUUUAUUUCUUCUCCAUUUUCGACUCAGUGCUCACUUUAACGCUGUCUCCGCGCGGCAAUUGCCAACACCUUUCUGCAGACUGCGCUCCGGGUUCUUUCGUUUGCAAGUCUAACAAAAAACGAGAAAGAAGAAGAAGGAGGAGGAGAAGAAGAAGAAGAAGAAAAGAUAGGGAGAGAAAGAAAGGACGACAAGGGGAGACUUACGGUCCUCGCGGAAUACAGAGGAAACGCGGCGCGUAAAUAGAGCGAAUAAAAGAGGUCGAGUUGAAAUGGGGCUGAAAAUUUGUAAAGAUGAGGAAAAGGGUUUUUUUUCGAGUUAAUGAAGGUAAGCUUGGGCAAAGAGCUUGAAAGUUAAUUAAGAAAAGCCGGGAAGAAGCGAUUUUUUUCUCUCUUUUCUUUUUUUUUUCAACUUGAGCUUCACGAUCGUGCUUCGCUUUAUGCACCAAAGUUUCUUACGUUUUGCUACGCUUUUUUCCGCUACUUGUUCCUCUUUUCUACUCUGGACAGAACAUAUGUACGCCAUUGAAACGUAAGGAUGUUUCCGUCUCGCUGUUUAUUAUAUUAGGUUAGCAACUAAGUGAUUGCGGAUUUUGUCAUUACCAAUGGUGAAGUCCGCAAUCACUUGGUUGCCUACCCAAUAGAAACAUUUAUUCUUCUCAGUUGAAUUCCUGUGAAUUCAAAUAUUUUAUUUUAUUUUUAUUAAUUUAAAUACAACUCUAUAGGAAUUCUACAGUGGAAUUCAUGCCAUUUUAACGAACGACCAAUUCCAAGAGGAUUCGAUUAUUUCUUCGUUAGCCAUUAAAUUAUACAUUGCGCUCAUUUUCACCAGCCAGCUGCUUGCUACUCCAUUGCACCGAUAAAAUAGAAAUUUUCUACCGGACAAAAGGAAAUGUUUCGCGUGGUUUUCAACAACGUUCCAGAGUUCAGGUUAUUGGUCAUCGUCUGGUAAAUAAAAAAUCGUUGAUUCACACCGUCUCGUCAUAGAAUCCCUUGGCUUUUGGAGGAUAUGGCGCGAGAGGACGAUUUUGCAAUCGCAGGAAUAUUAUUUGGCGAGCCCGUGCUAUCAUUAGCGAGCAAUUCAUCGUGUCGUGACGGGAAAAUUGACCGUCCAAACACGGAGAAUCGAUAUUCCAUUACGGAGGAUCGGUGGUUGGCCAGAGAGAGGCUGCGAUAAGAGUUCAACUAUGGCGAGCGGGCACCGCUUUGAAGAUAGAAGAUGAUAAAAACGUCUGGAAAAUGUAUCUAUCUUGAUGUUCUGUGGGCUAAUUCUAUUCUUUCUAUUUUUAGUAUAUCUUCUUGCAGUUACAUUUGAACUUUUUGUAAUACACAGGUCCAUAAAAAUAGACGAACGUGCUCGCUGAGACAGUUAGACAUAUAGUGGAAUUGUUAGUCGAAUAGCGAACAGUUAGAGAGUCGAAUAGUAGCAUGAGCGAGCCACGAUUACGACAUACACAAUCUCUGUACUUGUACUUAACCAAACUCUGCCUGUAAUCGAUGAGGAAAGCGGACUUUCUUGGCCGCGUGACGUACAUAUUUCUCGUAUUUUCGUUAACUUCUUCUACGCUCAUGUGCCGCUACAAAUUUAUCUAAAUUUCGAUACUAUUUUAGUUUUCAAAAGUAAAUGUAUCUCUUGAUGGUAUGGUUAAAUUUCCUAAAAAUAAAAUAAGUCGGUGAGCGUAAUUCAUACCAUUUCGAUAUUUUCAUUUAUUUUUAUUUAAUUCCACGCAAUUAAUCGCAUCGUUUAACAUAUAGAAAUUAAAUUGUUAAAUUAUUUGAUUAACUUACUAAAAUAUACACAGCCGAUAUAGCUGAGCUCACUUAUAUCUUCACUCGAUUCUCAGACUCAUUUACAUUUGAUCUCCCAAAAUGAACAUCAUUUGACGUACGCAACAUAUCUUGAUAAAUUGUUAACUUAGUAAAUAUAUACGUAGAAGAUCUCACGUAUACUUUUACCUUAUUCUUAGAUCUAUUCACUUGUUAGUUUACUUUCCAAAAUCAGUUAUACUUCUUUGUAAGCUUAUUAAGUGUUUAAAGUACAGAAACUAAGAAACAUAUAUGUAGCAUCGCGGACAAAUGGCCUAAGAAAUAUCUGGCGUACCAUAAACAAUAUUGCGGGAAGCCUUAAGUGCUGUUAGGCCAAAAAGGGCCUGGCAGUUUUACCGGGGAGUCAAGUGGGGAGGAGUCGAGUUGAGUAGUCGUGAGUUGAGAGUCGAGUUGUGAGUUGGUACCCGAGUGGUGGGGAGUCGAGUUGAGAAUCGAGUGGAGUAGUCAAGUUGUGAGUUGACAGUCGAGGUGUGAGGAGUUGAGUAGUCGUGAGUUAAGAGUCGAGGCGUGAGGAGUUGAGUAGUCGUGAGUUGAGAGUCGAGUUGUGAGUUGGCAGCCGAGUGGUGAGGAGUCGAGUGGAGUAGUCAAGUUGUGAGUUGACAGUCGAGUUGCGAGGAGUCGAGAGUUGAGAGUCGAGAUGUGAGAAGUUGAGUAGUCGUGAGUUGAGAGUCGAGUUGUGAGUUGAGAUAGUCGUGAGUCGAGAGUCGAGUUUAAAUAGUCGUGAGUUGAGAGUUGAGUUUAAAUAAUCGUGAGUUGAGAGUCGAGUUUAAAUAGUCGUGAGUAGAGAGUCAAAUUGAGAUAGUUGUGAGUUGAGAGUCGAGUUAUGAGGAAUCAAGUUGUAAGUUGACAGUCUAGUGGUGGGGAGUCGAGUUAUGAGGAGUGGAGAGUUGAGUUGCCGAGUUGUUAUGAGUCGUAAACUAUUACAAUAGUUGUGAGUUGUGAAUUAACUAUUUAGUUGUCUUAGUUAUAGCACAUUACUGUAUAUAGUUCACGUUAAGUAACCAUCGUUUCUUGUCAAAUCCAUUGCAAAUAGAUCUAUUGAUCAAUAAACUAAUAAGUUUAAUAAGUCCUAUUAUAUAGGAUAAAUAAAAAAUUCCUAUAUACACCUUGUAUUCAGUCUUUA